AUAUUUACAUGGCCAGGGAGACACCAUGACCUCGAUCCCAGGGCAGGGCGUGGCUCACCCGCUGCCCUCCAGAUGUACUGAUCCCUGAAUUCUCCCCAAAUGUGGGAAACUCAACUGCAUGAUUUGUGGUAGUGGGGCACUGCAUUUGUGUUCUCCCCUG
Small nuclear RNA from Ochotona curzoniae (black-lipped pika), 160 nucleotides. RefSeq annotates it as U1 spliceosomal RNA. Lineage: Eukaryota; Metazoa; Chordata; Mammalia; Lagomorpha; Ochotonidae. The transcript has a single exon. The record is from RefSeq and is a predicted model, not a curated record.